UAUUCUGCCUCACGGGGAAGGACGAGAACCUUCGACUAAGGUUCGACCCGAGCGACAGCGAGUGAGCGUUGCCGCAGGCAACGACCCGAAGGGCGAGGAACGCAGUGACGAGUUAUCCUUCCCCCACCACCA
This 132-nucleotide small RNA is filed under the name Kosakonia sp. ML.JS2a. Its description in RNAcentral is "RtT sRNA". It matches the Rfam family "RtT RNA". From Rfam's summary of the family: This family represents a bacterial cis-regulatory element known as RtT RNA. The exact function of RtT is unknown although it is thought that it may be involved in changing the cellular response in relation to amino acid starvation. Lineage: Bacteria; Pseudomonadati; Pseudomonadota; Gammaproteobacteria; Enterobacterales; Enterobacteriaceae. The record is from RNAcentral.